Panthera uncia (snow leopard) is the source of this 1056-nucleotide long non-coding RNA. RefSeq lists it as uncharacterized. NCBI's taxonomy places the organism in Eukaryota, Metazoa, Chordata, Mammalia, Carnivora, Felidae. The transcript is spliced from 4 exons. The record is from RefSeq and is a predicted model, not a curated record.
CGUGAUGGAAUAAUAAUUCCAUGACCUUGGAAUUCAGGGGAUUCUGGUAACAGCCCCCCCUACAACCUUUCCCCCCCCACUCCCCCAAACCUGCCCUCCUUUCCCCCGGAGAAGGCAUACAGGUUCAGUUUUGUCCUUGAUCUUGCUGCCUCCUCAGAGGGGACUGUUUUUCCAUCCACCCACAUUGUCUUGUCUGAGCCUCCUCAGAACCAAAGGGUAACUUACCUGAAAGGUGCUUGAGCAGGCUUGACGGCUUCUGUUGAGGCAGAUGCUGUCACAGAGGGUAUCGAGAGAGAGUGUAUGCUGUGAUGACAUUUGCCUCAAAUGAAGUCGCUGACAGGCCAGGUGUAUCGAAGAUGAAGAUAUUUGAAAAUUCCACUUAGCAAGAGCUUUUCUUUGAGGAUUCUCUUUUUCUUCCACCUCUGGGUUUAUGCCCCGUUUUCUUCCCAUGUGAUUGACAGUCAACCUUCCUGCCCUUAGUAGGGCUGAUUCGCAGUGUGGUGUCCUAAGCAAAGGAUCCACAUGGGACCGUAUCUGCACUUAACCUCCACGGAACGGAGUUACACAAUCAGCUGCCGUGUGUGAACUGUGGCAUCCGUGUGGCAUAGGACCAGUGUCACUCACGAAAGCCUGCUGUGUCCAGGAGAACGGAGACACUUUCUCUGUGGCUGCUUUCCUCGCUUUGCGGUUCACCGGGACUCUUUAAUUUCACUUUGCUGGAGAACCCAGCUUUCAAACUCACACCACUCUACAGUCAAAUUCGAAGUCUGUGAAAACACGACCAAGAGAACAUUCUUUGGCCUGGAAGGUUUGAGGAUAUCACAGGAAGGCCUCUCAAGCCCUCUUCUGUCAUCUCGAAAGCAGGAGAAGGAACCUGUGAUCCCAAGGCUGGACACAGGGCAUAAAAUUCCUCCUCUUUCCUUCUUGCUCCUUCACCCUCCUCGUACACCUGCCAGUAAGAGGCAACAUGACAGACUAAAGCGUGACAAAAGCAAGCGAUAAGCUAAGCAAUAGAUUUAGCAAAUAAAAAUAUUGCUGGGGGCAUAAACCUGAAAA